AGACCCGAAACCCGGUGAUCUAGCCAUGGGCAGGUUGAAGGUUGGGUAACACUAACUGGAGGACCGAACCGACUAAUGUUGAAAAAUUAGCGGAUGACCUGUGGCUGGGGGUGAAAGGCCAAUCAAACCGGGAGAUAGCUGGUUCUCCCCGAAAGCUAUUUAGGUAGCGCCUCGUGAAUUCAUCUCCGGGGGUAGAGCACUGUUUCGGCUAGGGGGCCAUCCCGGCUUACCAACCCGAUGCAAACUGCGAAUACCGGAGAAUGUUAUCACGGGAGACACACGGCGGGUGCUAACGUCCGUCGUGAAGAGGGAAACAACCCAGACCGCCAGCUAAGGUCCCAAAGUCAUGGUUAAGUGGGAAACGAUGUGGGAAGGCCCAGACAGCCAGGAUGUUGGCUUAGAAGCAGCCAUCAUUUAAAGAAAGCGUAAUAGCUCACUGGUCGAGUCGGCCUGCGCGGAAGAUGUAACGGGGCUAAACCAUGCACCGAAGCUGCGGCAGCGACGCUGAUGCGUUGUUGGGUAGGGGAGCGUUCUGUAAGCCUGUGAAGGUGGCCUGUGAGGGUUGCUGGAGGUAUCAGAAGUGCGAAUGCUGACAUAAGUAACGAUAAAGCGGGUGAAAAGCCCGCUCGCCGGAAGACCAAGGGUUCCUGUCCAACGUUAAUCGGGGCAGGGUGAGUCGACCCCUAAGGCGAGGCCGAAAGGCGUAGUCGAUGGGAAACGGGUUAAUAUUC
Molecule: ribosomal RNA, 731 nt
Filed under: Salmonella enterica
Lineage: Bacteria; Pseudomonadati; Pseudomonadota; Gammaproteobacteria; Enterobacterales; Enterobacteriaceae
Also listed under: 1 other name
Description: partial 23S ribosomal RNA
Rfam family: Bacterial large subunit ribosomal RNA
Source: RNAcentral